Passer domesticus (house sparrow) is the source of this 400-nucleotide long non-coding RNA. RefSeq lists it as uncharacterized. NCBI's taxonomy places the organism in Eukaryota, Metazoa, Chordata, Aves, Passeriformes, Passeridae. The transcript has 3 exons. The record is from RefSeq and is a predicted model, not a curated record.
UCCUAUUUAAAUAUUUGCAUAAUGCAUCAACAUAUCCUCCUUUUGAGGAGCUUUUCUUUUUUCCUAUAGAUCUCCAGAAAAUGUUGAUCACCAGUUUUAAGCUGCAGGAGGUGGAAAUAGCUUGAGAGUUAUUUUUGCUAAGGUUUCAGAUGCUGAAGAGCUCUCUAAGAAAGUCUAAUGCAAUGGUUCCCAGCAGAAGGCCUAAUGGAUGGGAAGAAUCUCCUUGUGGAAGCAGAAAUGCAGAAAACUGUGCAGAGAGGGGAAUAAGCACUCCACAUUCUGAAGAAGAGAAGAUGGGGUCCCAGAAGCAUGUACAACUUGCAGUACAGAAAGCAGCUAACAAAUUUGGUUUUUCUUCCUUAAAUUGUAUCUUAUCCUCAGCCCACUCAUGAGGAUGCCA